RNAcentral lists this long non-coding RNA (519 nucleotides) under Homo sapiens (human). Its description in RNAcentral is "HSALNT0309495". Lineage: Eukaryota; Metazoa; Chordata; Mammalia; Primates; Hominidae. The record is from RNAcentral.
CUCAUGAUCUGCCUGCCUCGGCCUCCCAAAGUGCUGGGAUUACAGGCGUGAGCCACUGCGCGCAGCCUUAUAUGAUCUAGUUUUAACCGACCUAAUCCUCCAAAAGGGCCAAGAGGCUCACACAAGAUUCCUGUAAAGAAUCUGCAACUAACAACAGAAAUCCAGAGCAGAUGAACCACAGCAGAAGGGGGAGCUGAGAAUUCCUUAUUACUCCUGGCAGAGCGCACGUCACCCGGGGAAAAAUGGCAGAAACAAUGAGCAGUAAAUGAUCUGUCGACAAACCGAAAGACUUCUUUGUCAGCAAACACCGUCGGAAGAUGUGGAGAAAACACUGCCGAAGAUUGGAAGAAACUCGUGUUAGAGCAAAGUACCCAGUGUGGGAGGUUUGCUUUGCAAUGAGCUGAAAGCACAGAUGUUCCCAACAUGGCUCAGCUGAAGAAGAAUGGAGGCCCAGGGAGGGAAGGUAAUGAGUCUUCCUUGCUGAGAAAUCCAUGCCCAGCACCCAGAUGGCCUAGGCGG